Long non-coding RNA from Talpa occidentalis (Iberian mole), 432 nucleotides. RefSeq lists it as uncharacterized. Lineage: Eukaryota; Metazoa; Chordata; Mammalia; Eulipotyphla; Talpidae. The transcript is spliced from 4 exons. The record is from RefSeq and is a predicted model, not a curated record.
AGUCAUUCGAAGACAAGAACUCACCCCCACAUAAAGAGGCCUGGGACACUGUCGCACAAAUGCAGCCUGACAGUUCCUCUUCCACCUGCUUUUCACCUCCCGACCCUGGGCCGUGGGGGACUUCCAUGGAACCCGCUUGCCACUGAUACGUGAGGCACCCAGAAGUAUAGAGGGCAACUUGACAAGUGCUAAUGACUUGAUGCCUUCCUUUCCUUCUAUUGGGCUCUGAGAAAGCGUCUCAGAAGUUCCUUCAGGAUCAGGACAGAACUCGGCACACAAGUGCUCAAAAAUACUCACUGGAUGUAAGAAUGAAUGAAUGAACUGAAGUAGACACUCAUCAAAUUGUCAGCAGAUCAUUAAAACCGUUUUGAUAAAAAUGGAAUUAUGCGUAUCACUUGGAAGACAUUCAAAGAAUUAAAUGACGUUCCUGUA